UACGUAGGGUGCAAGCGUUGUCCGGAAUUAUUGGGCGUAAAGAGCUCGUAGGCGGUCUGUCGCGUCGGAUGUGAAAAUCCAGGGCUCAACCCUGGACCUGCAUUCGAUACGGGCAGACUAGAGUUCGGUAGGGGAGACUGGAAUUCCUGGUGUAGCGGUGAAAUGCGUAGAGAUCCGGAAGAACACCGGUGGCGAAGGCGGCCUGCUGGGCAGUUUAGCUGACACUGAGGCGCGACAGCGUGGGGAGCAAACAGG
This 255-nucleotide ribosomal RNA is filed under the name uncultured bacterium. RNAcentral's name for it is "partial 16S ribosomal RNA". It matches the Rfam family "Bacterial small subunit ribosomal RNA", at positions 524 to 776 of the family's 1533-position model. The record is from RNAcentral.